UACGGAGGGGGCUAGCGUUGUUCGGAAUUACUGGGCGUAAAGCGCACGUAGGCGGACCGGCAAGUCGGGGGUGAAAGCCCGAGGCUCAACCUCAGAACUGCCUUCGAUACUGGGGAUCUUGAGUCCGGGAGAGGUGAGUGGAAUUCCUAGUGUAGAGGUGAAAUUCGUAGAUAUUAGGAAGAACACCAGUGGCGAAGGCGGCUCACUGGCCCGGUACUGACGCUGAGGCGCGAAAGCGUGGGGAGCAAACAGG
This 253-nucleotide ribosomal RNA is filed under the name uncultured bacterium. Its description in RNAcentral is "partial 16S ribosomal RNA". It matches the Rfam family "Bacterial small subunit ribosomal RNA", at positions 524 to 776 of the family's 1533-position model. The record is from RNAcentral.